CCUACGGGUCGCAGCAGUGAGGAAUAUUGGUCAAUGGACGAGAGUCUGAACCAGCCAAGUAGCGUGAAGGAUGACUGCCCUAUGGGUUGUAAACUUCUUUUAUAUGGGAAUAAAGUGUUCCACGUUUGGGAUUUUGUAUGUAUCAUAUGAAUAAGGAUCGGCUAACUCCGUGCCAGCAGCCGCGGUAAUACGGAGGAUCCGGGCGUUAUCCGGAUUUUAUGGGUUUAAAGGGAACGUAGGUGGAUUGUUAAGUCAGUUGGGAACGUUUGCGGCUCAACCGUAAAAUUGCAGUUGAAACUGGCAGUCUUGAGUACAGUAGAGGUGGGCGGAAGUCGUGGUGUAGCGGUGAAAUGCUUAGAUAUCACGAAGAACUCCGAUUGCGAAGGCAGCUCACUGGACUGCAACUGACACUGAGGCUCGAAAGUGUGGGUAUCAAACAGGAUUAGAUACCCCUGUAGUC
RNAcentral lists this ribosomal RNA (460 nucleotides) under uncultured bacterium. Its description in RNAcentral is "partial 16S ribosomal RNA". It matches the Rfam family "Bacterial small subunit ribosomal RNA", at positions 338 to 795 of the family's 1533-position model. The record is from RNAcentral.